This 1094-nucleotide long non-coding RNA is filed under the name Solanum tuberosum (potato). RNAcentral's name for it is "long non-coding RNA (STUB_LNC007874)". Lineage: Eukaryota; Viridiplantae; Streptophyta; Magnoliopsida; Solanales; Solanaceae. The record is from RNAcentral.
GAUAAUUAGUAGGAAAACAAACCCGGAGACAUCUUAUCUUGAAAUUGAAGAAUCAUUUGACCAGAAGAAGGGAAAAACGUCCGGUGAAAUUGUGGAGGUUCCAUUUGAUGCAUCCAAGCAAAAGAAAUCUCUCAAUUCAUCAAAUGGAUUAAAUUUGGUUCGCCCUGUGCCCAAGAAGGGUGUUAAGUUCGAGGUUGAUGAAAAACCACCAAAAACUGAGGGUUAUAAACAAAGCCAACCAAUUUCAAGACCUGAAGUAAGUAGAAAAAGUAGUGUUCCAAAUGUCAUAUUGCGAAAACCAAGUUUGUAUUCUGAGGAGGAUGAAUCAUCAAAAUUCAAAAUUAAGCCAAACUUGACACUGAAAAUGGGCAAAGAACUGAAACCUGAGAAGUUUAGUGAUGUUACAUUGUUGAAGAAGCCGGAACCAAUGAGGAUCAGCUCCGACGAUAGUGAAAAGAAUGGACAAUCAAGUGAUAAGCCUAGUGAUGCUACAUUGUUGAAGAAGCUGGAACCAAUGAGGAUCAGCUCCGACAAUAGUGAAAAGAAUGGACAAUCAAGUGAUAAGUCUAGUGAUGCUACAUUGUUGAAGAAGCCGGAGCCAAUGAGAAUCAACUCUGGCAAUAGUGAAAAGAAUGGACAAUCAAGCGAUGUCUUGCCUGUAUCUAGUGAUGACUCCGUAGAUGCUAGUCUUACAGAGGUGUAUGCAUCAACUAGUGAACCCAAAAACAGCUUGUUUCUAAAUAAGCCAGAGCCUAGUAAUUUAAAUCUAAAGAUAGAUCCAAAUCAAGAAUCUUCCGAGGCUCAGCAUCCUAGUAUUUCGGAUGAAAGUACUUUGAAUGCUGCUAACUCUUCUUCUGAGCUUAUAAGUAUGGCAGAGAAUAAACUCCGCCAACCGUUACAAUCUAGCAGAAGCAAUCCUCUUGAGAAGCAAGGCUUUGGUACAGGUAACAGGAUUCUGUUCUUGACAGAUAGUCAUCUGAGUGGUAAUUUAGCAUCUUAAUCAGCGUACUUGGUUGUUUUUCAAGGAUUCCAGCAGACUGAUACACAGCCUGCUGAGAGAAGUUCUGAUUCCAAUACACCUUCUAAGACUGGAC